GAUGAACGCUAGCGGCAGGCUUAACACAUGCAAGUCGAGGGGUAUAGUUCUUCGGAACUAGAGACCGGCGCACGGGUGCGGAACACGUACACAACUUACCUUCUGGUGGGGGAUAGCCUUUGGAAACGGAGAUUAAUACCCCAUAUUAUAUAUGAGCUGCAUGGUUUGUAUAUUAAAGAUUUAUUGCCGGAAGAUGGGUGUGCGUAUGAUUAGGUAGUUGGCGAGGUAAUGGCCCACCAAGCCGACGAUCAUUAACUGGUGUGAGAGCACGACCAGUCACACGGGCACUGAGACACGGGCCCGACUCCUACGGGAGGCAGCAGUAAGGAAUAUUGGUCAAUGGACGGAAGUCUGAACCAGCCAUGCCGCGUGGAGGAUGAAGGUCCUCUGGAUUGUAAACUUCUUUUAUAGGGGGCGAAAAAAGGGAAUUCUUUCUCGUCUGACGGUACCCUAUGAAUAAGCACCGGCUAACUCCGUGCCAGCCGCCGCCGUA
This 493-nucleotide ribosomal RNA is filed under the name uncultured bacterium. Its description in RNAcentral is "bacterial SSU rRNA". It matches the Rfam family "Bacterial small subunit ribosomal RNA", at positions 28 to 522 of the family's 1533-position model. The record is from RNAcentral.